Molecule: ribosomal RNA, 484 nt
Filed under: uncultured bacterium
Lineage: Bacteria
Description: partial 16S ribosomal RNA
Rfam family: Bacterial small subunit ribosomal RNA
Source: RNAcentral
AUUGAACGCUGGCGGCAUGCCUAACACAUGCAAGUCGAGCGGAUGAAGGGAGCUUGCUCCUGGAUUCAGCGGCGGACGGGUGAGUAAUGCCUAGGAAUCUGCCUGGUAGUGGGGGAUAACGUCCGGAAACGGGCGCUAAUACCGCAUACGUCCUGAGGGGGAAAGUGGGGGAUCUUCGGACCUCACGCUAUCAGAUGAGCCUAGGUCGGAUUAGCUAGUUGGUGGGGUAAAGGCCUACCAAGGCGACGAUCCGUAACUGGUCUGAGAGGAUGAUCAGUCACACUGGAACUGAGACACGGUCCAGACUCCUACGGGAGGCAGCAGUGGGGAAUAUUGGACAAUGGGCGAAAGCCUGAUCCAGCCAUGCCGCGUGUGUGAAGAAGGUCUUCGGAUUGUAAAGCACUUUAAGUUGGGAGGAAGGGCAGUAAGUUAAUACAUUGCUGUUUUGACGUUACCAACAGAAUAAGCACCGGCUAACUUCGUG